UAAGGAAUAUUGGUCAAUGGGCGAGAGCCUGAACCAGCCAUGCCGCGUGAAGGAUGAAGGCCCUCUGGGUUGUAAACUUCUUUUGAACGGGACGAAAACGGGGCAUUCAUGCCCAACUGACGGUACCGUUAGAAUAAGCACCGGCUAACUCCGUGCCAGCAGCCGCGGUAAUACGGAGGGUGCAAGCGUUAUCCGGAAUCACUGGGUUUAAAGGGUACGUAGGCGGUCAUGUAAGUCAGAGGUGAAAGGCCACGGCUUAACUGUGGGAAUGCCUUUGAUACUGCGUGACUUGGAAGAAGUUGAGGCAGGCAGAAUGCGACAUGUAGCGGUGAAAUGCUUAGAUAUGUCGUAGAAUACCGAUUGCGAAGGCAGCCUGCUGGACUUGGUUCGACGCUGAGGU
This 400-nucleotide ribosomal RNA is filed under the name uncultured bacterium. RNAcentral describes it as "bacterial SSU rRNA". It matches the Rfam family "Bacterial small subunit ribosomal RNA", at positions 355 to 752 of the family's 1533-position model. The record is from RNAcentral.